UAUCGUGACAAGUUGAAUUUUCAAUUACUUUAACCAGAGUUAUAAGAGGAAAUAGCUUCUGUUAUGUACUUUCACUGACAUGAUUCGUGACAACAAAUGUAUUAUCUUUAUCUUCAAAAAUAAAACUACUAACAUAUAUGCAAUAAUGCUAAAAGAAAUACUUGAAAAAUGUUUCUUUUCUAUAGUGACAUGUAUAGUACAUAUGAAAUAUGUUACACGACGACCGAAGGGCAAGAACUCUGGAGGGAGAAGCGGUUUGUUUAUAUAGGAGUUAAAAGACUUACAUACGUCGCUUCUAUUCCCAUUCAAGUUUGCCAAAGUUGGUCUUCGGGCUGUAAAAAAGUGUGAAAGAAGCAAAGCUGUGCAAGAAAUAAACCAGAAACAGAUAUGCUGAUAAAGUGAACAGGGACACAAAUGUUGUAUUGUCUUAUUAAAGUGAAAAAUCGUUUAUUUUUCUUUUACAGUGUAAUUACCGACUCACUUCAUUCGAACAAACAGCCCGUGCAAAGGAAGAAUAAUUAAAACUUGCUAGAGUGUUUGACGUCGCAAGGUCUUACUAUCCGAUCAUGCAGCAAGAAAAGCAGUCAGCUUUCGGGUCUAUAUAAAAUUGGUUCGAAUUCCGUGCUAAGAAAGAUUUGACGAAGAGGAAUAAACUGCAUUACACCAGCAGCUGACUCGCGAUUUGAACUUGAUCAGUCAAAUGAAAGGAAGCUGGCAGACCUGAUAGAGGGAUAAAAUUAAGAUCCGAUACUCUUCGACAAUUUAAACGGAGCGAGAAGACUGAAGGAAGAAAAUAUUUGUUUGAAGUAAUGAAAAGAUAUUUUUAAGGCGUUUGAAGUACAUUCUUGUUUUAAGACAAUAACAAAAGAAGAGAAACAAGCCGAGCUGUACAGAAAUCAGCCACCUUAGAACGAAAAAAGCAAAGGUGGUAAUAUUUUCUAACAAUGAAAUAUAUUUUACUUUCUUUCAAGGACAAGACACAAACAGAUGAUUUUUUUUCAGUAUAUCAGAGUAUAUUGCAAAAAUGUCUACACAAGGGUCGGUACAUAAGUUAAUAAUAAUAUUCAUGAUAAUCAAGACAUGACAUACUAAACAAUCAUUUGUUUGAAUGACAUGUAUUAUACUAUAGUUCAUGCCAAAUACAAAAUACACAAUGUUUAAUGAUUCUGUGAUUCUUAUUCAAAAGUUGAA
This is a long non-coding RNA of Mercenaria mercenaria, 1191 nucleotides long. RefSeq lists it as uncharacterized. The record is from RefSeq and is a predicted model, not a curated record. The transcript has 3 exons. Lineage: Eukaryota; Metazoa; Mollusca; Bivalvia; Venerida; Veneridae.